Molecule: ribosomal RNA, 400 nt
Filed under: uncultured bacterium
Lineage: Bacteria
Description: bacterial SSU rRNA
Rfam family: Bacterial small subunit ribosomal RNA
Source: RNAcentral
UCGAGAAUCUUCCGCAAUGGACGAAAGUCUGACGGAGCGACGCCGCGUGGUGGAUGAAGUCCCUCGGGACGUAAACACCUUUUAUGGGGGAAGAAGUUUAUUGACUGUACCCCAUGAAUAAGGGGCUCCCAAUUCUGUGCCAGCAGGAGCGGUAAUACAGAAGCCCCGAGCGUUACCCGGAUUCACUGGGCGUAAAGGGUGCGUAGGCGGUUGUAUUAGUCUUGUGUUAAAUCCUUAAGCUCAACUUAAGGCCCGCAUAAGAAACGGUACGACUAGAAGAAGUGAGAGGUGAAUAGAACUCUCGGUGUAGGGGUGAAAUCCGUUGAUAUCGAGGGGAAUACCAAAUGCGAAGGCAAUUCACUGGCACUUUCUUGACGCUGAGGCACGAAAGCGUGGGUAG